UGAGAAUACUGCCAGUAGUUCAGCAGAGAGGUGGUUGUGGAUACCCCAGGGUCGUAGCUGGGGCCGGGCUGAGGAUGUUGCAUUCUGGACACUGCAUUUGAGGAUGGAGCUGACGCUCUGGAAUGCCAGGGCAGCCCCGGGAGAACAGACCUUGUGGAUGGCACUUCACCACGAGGAAGCUGAAAUGAGACAUUGGAUGUGAGGAGGGAAGGUUAGGAGAUAACUUCUGCCAUGACCCACAUAACCUUCAGGCACCCCCAGUGACCCAUGUUGGCGGGGUUGACCUGAACAGUCUCAGAUGCUGGGGACAGUCCCAGGAAAGGGAUAUGUUAAAGUUUUAGCAGGGGACCCUUUUGUGCCUGGUCCCUUUGGUUCCACCAAGAGGGAAGAGGAAGACCAGGAGAAGGAAUCUCCACAGGAGAUAUUUCCCCUCCCCCUCAAACCCUCACAUUCUCCUCUCAGCUCUAGCAUGGAGAUCUGUCUCUCCAGAUGUUUGCCUAGAAUGUUCUCUCCCCUCUGGUCCAAGAGGAACAUUCGUGUGCGUUCUUGGAGACCCAGGCCAAAGAGUCUUGCUCCAUGGCUGACAGGUCCUAUGUAACCCCACAGCAGUGCUGUGGCCCUCUGUGACAGGGCUCUGUAGGGAUGAGCGUUCAGACCUGCCUCAGCUGCCAUGCUGUCAUGCGGAGCCAUUGCUGUUCCAUCUGCGCCCCCCCAGCUGAGGUUCCAAGACAAGGCCUAUGUUCCAAGACAAGGCCUAUGUCUUCAUGAGGGCAGAAUGGAGCCUGAACCCUAACUCAGCAGGUGCUGCCGGGCCAGUGGCAUUUAACCUUCCAUCCCUUACAUGCUUACAGCUCCCCAGGUAGACUACCUAUCCCCCCCCACCAUAGAGCUGCUUGAGAAUUCAAUGAGAAAAUAUAAGCAAAGCACUUGACAUUGUACCAGUACACCGAAGAGCACAAAACCGUGAGCCUUCACUCUGCGUCUCUGUCCCCCUUGGACCCACAAUGUAGCAGCUUGAAUGAAAGAGUGGACGACCGAGGCGGGAGAUCGUCAAGGUCUGGAAUCAGCCUGCGAAUGCUUCCCUUUAGGACUUAACAGAACAGUUAGUGUAUGUGAUGCCAUCGUAGUCCUCCACUUUCACUGCGGCCCACCCUGGGAGUAACAGACACCCGACAGAGUACUCAAGGCCUUUUGCUUGAGCCCGGAGGUCGCUGGCGUAGAGGGCUCAGGAGCAGAAGCUAACAUUGUCAGCCUGACCUGCCCCGAGAAAGACCCUGCUGGGCCCUCGCUGUGCAGAGCCCCAGAUGGGCCCCACGGUCUCUGGACUCAGUCUCACCUCUGUGAUGUUUUGGUCCUCACCCACUGCCCAGGCUGCUCUGGCAGCUUCCAUGAUGACGCUGAAGGCAUACAAGAGAUGGCAUGGGGAGAAGUCCCCCAGACUGUUUUCCAGGCACUGGUAUUACAGGUUUUACAAGAAUGUGAAAAAUCACAGCCCUGAGGCCUGGCCAUGCCCAGAAGGAAAGAAGCUGAGUGGAAGAUCGCUCAGGAAGUAUGACUCCUCGCUAAUCCCCAGAGCAAGUCUAGCUGACCAGGAGCCGUGGGGAUAGGCUAAAGGCUCAGAGCAAAGGUAUUAAUUCAGCGUUUAUUGUCCGUCUCCCUCUUUGCCAAGUCCAGAGGGUUUGCGGGAUUUUAUUCCCUGCUUCACCCCCAGCACUGAGUGUGGCACCUGGCCCAUAUUAGGUACUCCACAGAUAUUUGCUGAAUGGAUGAAUGAGUGGAAGGAGGGUAGCGGGGCUGCGCUGGAUGGGUGUACCCGAGGCCUGGGCAUCCCGGGGGACAGGCUCACAGAAGUGGGAAUCAGCUUGCUGAAGCAGUUGGGUCAGGCCGAAGGGGGUGAUGGAAAUCUGGAAGGAGCAAAGGACAAUGGCCUCCGCGUGCUGACGGAACAAUCACUUCUAACCUUUGACUUGAGCGCGCCAGGCGGCAGUCCUGUCACCCGGCGGCCUGCACCCCUGGGAGGGUGAGCCAGGAGCAGCCACCCCCUGGGCAGGUGGGCAGGCGGCCGCGCCCCUGAAGAACCUGGAAAGCACACUGGGGCCUGCAGGCCUGGGGCUUGAGUAAUGACAGCUGCUGUGCCUUUGGGUGGUGUGUAAUUGUGAAAUACUUAAUACACACAAAGCAUGUCAUCAGGGGCACAUAGGUAAUAAAAUAAUGGAAUGAAUGCCAGGGCACCGACUGAUGAUCCCAGAGUUGACCACCAUCUGAUCUUUGUGUUUAUUAUACCCUUGCUUUGUUUCUUAAGCAGCUUUCUGCUGCCCCUCGUACCGUAAAUGUUCCGUGUAGCCCAGUGUAUGAUGUCGUUUGGUGUCAUGCUCGGGAAAGAUGGUAUCAUGUUCGGUAAUUUGCUUUUUUUGCUUCCUGUGUUCUUGGAUUUGUCCUUGUUGCCGCUGUGUUGAAGGCUGUGGUUCCCUCCUUUUCUCUGGUGUGGAAUACCCCGGGGUGUGCUGGUAGCACGCUGGUCAGCCGUCCUCCGUGUGUCACACCUCCAGCACCCACACUUUGAUGAACAAGGCUGCUGUGUAAAAGCGGCAUCAGUGCUGUUGUUAUGAGCAGGGUUUCUGCGGAUGACUCAAGAUGGCUCUAUGCCCCUCCCCCUCGAAGUGUCCUAAGGGCCCCCUGAGUUUCUUCCCAAAGGCCACCUGCUGCUGCCUGGGGUCCUGGUUCCCACUGUGGGGAUGAAUCAGCGGGAAUCUUGCUGGAGCCCACUGCCAACAUUGGAGCUGGUGUGUCUAGUUUACCAUCUGUUGCCAUCUAACAGGGCUAGCCAGACCACCAGGGAUAGGAGGCUGGCUGGCUGCCCAAGGAGGGCCUGGGCCUGGCAUGACCUGCGUGUGGAAACCAUGUUCCUAGGCUGGCCUUCAGCUUUGCCAAGUCCAGAAACACGUGAGUGCUCCGGGGACUUGCUCCACCUGCUCCCUCUAAGGAAGCUCACCACAGACGAAUGUGCACCUCCAUGGCAACUUUCAUUUAUGAUGGAAGCCAUUCCUACCCAGUGUCCUAUCCCUGGAGACCCCGUUGCCAAUGUCAGGAUGUAUGC
This is a long non-coding RNA of Ailuropoda melanoleuca (giant panda), 3097 nucleotides long. RefSeq lists it as uncharacterized. The transcript has 4 exons. The record is from RefSeq and is a predicted model, not a curated record. Lineage: Eukaryota; Metazoa; Chordata; Mammalia; Carnivora; Ursidae.